RNAcentral lists this long non-coding RNA (558 nucleotides) under Gallus gallus (chicken). RNAcentral's name for it is "lncRNA (ENSGALG00010028814.1)". Lineage: Eukaryota; Metazoa; Chordata; Aves; Galliformes; Phasianidae. The record is from RNAcentral.
CCCGCUUCCUCCCCCCCCCACGUGACGCUCACGGGGCUUUCCGCCGCCCGCCCCACACAUCCAUGGGGCCGCCCCACAUCACAUCCCGCCCCACAUCACAUCCCGCCCCACAUCCCCGCCCCGCGGGAGGGCGGCGGAGCGAUCCGCGUUUCCUUCCGUCGUUGUGGGGUUUCUUUGGGGGAAGGGUGGGGCGCCGCUCUGCCCUAUGGGGGAUCGCUGUGCCCUAUAGGGGAAGCUGUGCCCUAUGGGGGGUCGCUGUGCCCUGUAGGGGAAAGCUGUGCCCUAUGGGGGAGCUCUGUGCCCUAUGGGGGAUCGCUGUGCCCUAUAGGGGAAAGCUGUGCUCUAUGGGGGAGCUCUGUGCCCUAUGGGGGAUCGCUCUGCCCUAUAGGGGAAAGCUGUGCCCUAUGGGGGAGCUGUGCCCUAUGGAGGAGGGUUCUGCCUUAUGGGGCAAAGCUGUGCCCUAUGGCGAAAGCUGUGCCCUAUGGGGGAUCUCUCUGCCCUAUGGGGAAAAGCUGUGCCCUAUAGGGGAAAGCUGUGCCCUAUAGGGGAAAGCUGUGC